CACACAUCAUCUCUGAUCAAGAACAGAUUAAGACUCAGUGUUUUUGUGGAUGAUAUGAUUUAAUCAAGCACCAGCUUUUGGGCUCAAAGCAUGAGAAACAGAAUAAAACUGUGGACUGCACUAUACAGAAGAUACAACAUGGGCCUGUUCACGACUCUGCAAGUGUGCCCCAACUCUAACCAUCUAAACUCCGGACAUCUGAAAAAGUGGGCUGUGCCCAUGA
This is a non-coding RNA of Pelodiscus sinensis (Chinese soft-shelled turtle), 223 nucleotides long. NCBI's taxonomy places the organism in Eukaryota, Metazoa, Chordata, Testudines, Trionychidae. The record is from RefSeq and is a predicted model, not a curated record.